UAGGAUUUUAUAAAUAUGGAUAAUAUUAUUUAAAAUUUAUAUGAAUGGUAAAGAAAUGAGAAGAUAUAAUAAUUUUGAAAAAGAAUAUAGUAGGAGGAAAAAUUUAUUAGGUUUUAGGAUUUAUUAUAUAGUUAGUAUUUUAAAUUGUUGGUAUUGUUAGGAGGAUAGAUAUAUAGAUUAAUUGAAUAGAAGAUAGAAUUUAGAA
RNAcentral lists this unclassified non-coding RNA (205 nucleotides) under Hevea brasiliensis (rubber tree). Lineage: Eukaryota; Viridiplantae; Streptophyta; Magnoliopsida; Malpighiales; Euphorbiaceae. The record is from RNAcentral.